This is a long non-coding RNA of Poecilia latipinna (sailfin molly), 257 nucleotides long. RefSeq lists it as uncharacterized. NCBI's taxonomy places the organism in Eukaryota, Metazoa, Chordata, Actinopteri, Cyprinodontiformes, Poeciliidae. The transcript has 3 exons. The record is from RefSeq and is a predicted model, not a curated record.
GCUGAUGGCCUCCAUCAUUUAUGGGUAAGACCUAAACAAUAUUUGCAGUCGAUGGUCAAACAAAGAAAAAAACUUGUGUCCAUGAUCUUUAGGACCAAAUGUUGGUCAUAGAGAUCCAACAUUUGGUUCUUUAUGGCCAAAUGUUGAGCUUUCAUCGAAUGUCGACCAGAACCAGGAAAUGGACAUUCCCAUCACAGAUGCCUGGCCCUAAACAAACAUACAAAUUAAUUCUGGCCCACCUAGCAUAGUUUCUCUGC